RNAcentral lists this ribosomal RNA (51 nucleotides) under uncultured Basidiomycota. RNAcentral's name for it is "partial 28S ribosomal RNA". Lineage: Eukaryota; Fungi; Basidiomycota. The record is from RNAcentral.
CUGGCCUCGAAUCGGGCGGGAUUACCCGCUGAACUUAAGCAUAUCAAUAAG